RNAcentral lists this ribosomal RNA (467 nucleotides) under uncultured bacterium. RNAcentral describes it as "bacterial SSU rRNA". It matches the Rfam family "Bacterial small subunit ribosomal RNA", at positions 329 to 793 of the family's 1533-position model. The record is from RNAcentral.
GGCCAGACUCCUACGGGAGGCAGCAGUGAGGAAUAUUGGUCAAUGGGCGCGAGCCUGAACCAGCCAAGUCGCGUGAGGGAAGACGGUCCUAUGGAUUGUAAACCUCUUUUGUCGGGGAGCAAAAGACGCCACGCGUGGCGUUCCGAGAGUACCCGAAGAAAAAGCAUCGGCUAACUCCGUGCCAGCAGCCGCGGUAAUACGUAGGGAGCAAGCGUUGUCCGGAUUUACUGGGUGUAAAGGGUGCGUAGGCGGCCUUGCAAGUCAGAAGUGAAAUCCAUGGGCUUAACCCGUGAACUGCUUUUGAAACUGUAGGGCUUGAGUGAAGUAGAGGCAGGCGGAAUUCCCGGUGUAGCGGUGAAAUGCGUAGAGAUCGGGAGGAACACCAGUGGCGAAGGCGGCUUACUGGACUGUAACUGACGUUGAGGCUCGAAAGCGUGGGGAGCAAACAGGAUUAGAUACCCCCGUAU